AUUAUGGAGAGUUUGAUCCUGGCUCAGGAUGAACGCUGGCGGCGUGCCUAAUACAUGCAAGUCGAACGCGCGGAU
This 75-nucleotide ribosomal RNA is filed under the name Salinicoccus cyprini. Its description in RNAcentral is "Salinicoccus sp. CT19 partial 16S ribosomal RNA". It matches the Rfam family "Bacterial small subunit ribosomal RNA", at positions 1 to 75 of the family's 1533-position model. The record is from RNAcentral. Lineage: Bacteria; Bacillati; Bacillota; Bacilli; Caryophanales; Staphylococcaceae.